AUUGAACGCUGGCGGCAUGCCUUACACAUGCAAGUCGAACGGCAGCACGGGUGCUUGCACCUGGUGGCGAGUGGCGAACGGGUGAGUAAUACAUCGGAACAUGUCCUGUAGUGGUGGAUAGCCCGGCGAAAGCCGGAUUAAUACCGCAUACGAUCUACGGAUGACAGCGGGGGACCUUCGGGCCUCGCGCUAUAGGGUUGGCCGAUGGCUGAUUAGCUAGUUGGUGGGGUAAAGGCCUACCAAGGCGACGAUCAGUAGCUGGUCUGAGAGGACGACCAGCCACACUGGGACUGAGACACGGCCCAGACUCCUACGGGAGGCAGCAGUGGGGAAUUUUGGACAAUGGGCGAAAGCCUGAUCCAGCAAUGCCGCGUGUGUGAAGAAGGCCUUCGGGUUGUAAAGCACUUUUGUCCGGAAAGAAAUCCUUGGCCCUAAUACGGUCGGGGGAUGACGGUACCGGAAGAAUAAGCACCGGCUAACUACGUG
Molecule: ribosomal RNA, 486 nt
Filed under: uncultured bacterium
Lineage: Bacteria
Description: partial 16S ribosomal RNA
Rfam family: Bacterial small subunit ribosomal RNA
Source: RNAcentral